GAGUAACACGUGAGCAACCUGCCCCUAACUCUGGGAUAACGCUUCGAAAGGAGUGCUAAUACCGGAUAUGAGCCUGAGCGACAUCGCUUGGGUUGGAAAGUUUUUCGGUUAGGGAUGGGCUCGCGGCCUAUCAGCUAGUUGGUGAGGUAAAGGCUCACCAAGGCGACGACGGGUAUCCGGCCUGAGAGGGCGACCGGACACACUGGGACUGAGACACGGCCCAGACUCCUACGGGAGGCAGCAGUGGGGAAUAUUGCGCAAUGGGCGAAAGCCUGACGCAGCGACGCCGCGUGAGGGAUGAAGGUCUUCGGAUUGUAAACCUCUUUCAGCAGGGACGAAGCGAAAGUGACGGUACCUGCAGAAGAAGCACCGGCUAACUACGUGCCAGCAGCCGCGGUAAUACGUAGGGUGCAAGCGUUGUCCGGAUUUAUUGGGCGUAAAGAGCUCGUAGGCGGUUAGACACGUCGGAUGUGAAAACUGGGGGCUCAACCCCCAGCCUGCAUUCGAUACGGUCUGACUAGAGUGUGGUAGGGGUAACUGGAAUUCCUGGUGUAGCGGUGAAAUGCGCAGAUAUCAGGAGGAACACCGAUGGCGAA
This 596-nucleotide ribosomal RNA is filed under the name uncultured Actinomycetes bacterium. RNAcentral's name for it is "bacterial SSU rRNA". It matches the Rfam family "Bacterial small subunit ribosomal RNA", at positions 108 to 719 of the family's 1533-position model. Lineage: Bacteria; Bacillati; Actinomycetota; Actinomycetes. The record is from RNAcentral.